This is a small nucleolar RNA of Pseudophryne corroboree (corroboree frog), 133 nucleotides long. RefSeq annotates it as small nucleolar RNA SNORA72. The record is from RefSeq and is a predicted model, not a curated record. The transcript has a single exon. NCBI's taxonomy places the organism in Eukaryota, Metazoa, Chordata, Amphibia, Anura, Myobatrachidae.
GUGCGAAUAUAUUCUCGCUGGAUUGGUCUGUCUGUGAUCAGCUCCGGGCUAGACAUUCGCUAGAGUAAAACUAGGCCGUGUCCUCAGUACUGGCCCAUUAUCCAGUUCUGAUGCUUAAAGGCUAGUUACACUU